Molecule: non-coding RNA, 46 nt
Organism: Trichobilharzia regenti
Lineage: Eukaryota; Metazoa; Platyhelminthes; Trematoda; Strigeidida; Schistosomatidae
Source: Rfam
GUACCGCUGAGGAGUCCCAAACUAGGGCGAAACACCUGUCCAGUAC